This 394-nucleotide ribosomal RNA is filed under the name uncultured bacterium. RNAcentral's name for it is "bacterial SSU rRNA". It matches the Rfam family "Bacterial small subunit ribosomal RNA", at positions 505 to 898 of the family's 1533-position model. The record is from RNAcentral.
GUGCCAGCAGCCGCGGUAAUACGUAGGUGGCAAGCGUUGUCCGGAAUUAUUGGGCGUAAAGCGCGCGCAGGUGGGAUAAUAAGUCUUUUGUAAAAGUGCGGGGCUCAACCCCGUAAUGCGACGGAUACUGUUAUUCUUGAGUGCAGGAGAGGAAAGCGGAAUUCCCAGUGUAGCGGUGAAAUGCGUAGAUAUUGGGAGGAACACCAGUGGCGAAGGCGGCUUUCUGGACUGUGUCUGACACUGAGGCGCGAAAGCUAGGGGAGCGAACGGGAUUAGAUACCCCGGUAGUCCUAGCCGUAAACGAUGGGUACUAGGUGUAGGGGGUAUCGACCCCUCCUGUGCCGGAGUUAACGCAAUAAGUACCCCGCCUGGGGAGUACGGCCGCAAGGUUGAA